CUAAGGAGCACUUCUCCACCGACACCCGAACAGUCGGGAUGGUAAACGUCUGGUGGCAGAGACCGUUUCGGAAGCAAUCGUCUUCCGGCGGAAGCUCAUGGGUGGAGCGCUGACAACCUCUCCCGCAUUGUGGUGCCGGCCGAGUCCGGUGCCGCGGGUGAUAUAUCGACACACUGUUGGGUCCUGAAAGAACAGACGUUCUUUCCAGGCAAAAAAUACGAUCCACUCGGAUCUUCGUUGGUACCGCCGGGCGUGCUCGGGACUGGCUUCGAGGUUGAGUUUCGGGUGGGUGUGUUGUUUGAGAACUGCACAGUGGACGCGAGCAUCUUUGUUAGUAAGUGUUUAAGAGCGUAC
This 354-nucleotide unclassified non-coding RNA is filed under the name Nocardia cyriacigeorgica. Its description in RNAcentral is "16S-23S ribosomal RNA intergenic spacer". Lineage: Bacteria; Bacillati; Actinomycetota; Actinomycetes; Mycobacteriales; Nocardiaceae. The record is from RNAcentral.